This 267-nucleotide ribosomal RNA is filed under the name uncultured bacterium. RNAcentral describes it as "partial 16S ribosomal RNA". It matches the Rfam family "Bacterial small subunit ribosomal RNA", at positions 524 to 776 of the family's 1533-position model. The record is from RNAcentral.
UACGGAGGAUGCGAGCGUUAUCCGGAAUUAUUGGGCUUAAAGGGUCCGCAGGCGGACAGGUAAGUCAGUAGUGAAAAACCUGGGCUUAACCCCGGUCGUGCUACAGUGGAACUGCCCUGGAAACUGGAGAACUUGAGUACAGACGAGGGCGGCGGAAUGGAUGGUGUAGCGGUGAAAUGCAUAGAUACCAUCCAGAACCCCGAUUGCGAAGGCAGCUGCCUAGACUGUAACUGACGCUGAGGCACGAAAGCGUGGGGAGCAAACAGG